RNAcentral lists this small nucleolar RNA (130 nucleotides) under Carlito syrichta (Philippine tarsier). RNAcentral's name for it is "Small nucleolar RNA SNORA57 (ENSTSYG00000019684.2)". It matches the Rfam family "Small nucleolar RNA SNORA57". From Rfam's summary of the family: U99 belongs to the H/ACA class of snoRNAs which are thought to guide the sites of modification of uridines to pseudouridines, the target for this family is unknown. Lineage: Eukaryota; Metazoa; Chordata; Mammalia; Primates; Tarsiidae. The record is from Rfam by way of RNAcentral.
CCUCUUUUUGUUGGCAGGACCGAGUGUGUGGUCCUGCUCCCCAUCAUGUAGGGAGGCAGAGGGAAAAGGCUCUGGCCCCCUCUGUGUCAUGUCUUAUCCACCAGGUCUAUCCUCAAGUGCUGAGACACCA